Molecule: unclassified non-coding RNA, 347 nt
Filed under: soil metagenome
Description: partial contains 5.8S ribosomal RNA, internal transcribed spacer 2, and large subunit ribosomal RNA
Rfam family: 5.8S ribosomal RNA (bases 1-120)
Source: RNAcentral
GAUGAAGAACGUAGCGAAAUGCGAUAAGUAAUGUAGAUUGCAGAAUUCAGUGAAUCAUCGAAUCUUUGAACGCAACUUGCGCUCUCUGGUAUUCCGGAGAGCAUGCCUGUUUGAGUAUCAUGAAAUCUCAACCAUUAGGGUUUCUUAAUGGCUUGGAAUUGGGUGUUGCCAGUCGCCUGGCUCGCCUUAAAAGAGUUAGCGUGUUUAACUUGUCUAUCUGGCGUAAUAAGUUUCGCUGGUGUCGGCUUGAGAAGUACGCUUCUAAUCGUCUUCGGACAAUUCUUGAACUCUGGUCUCAAAUCAGGUAGGGCUACCCGCUGAACUUAAGCAUAUCAAUAAGCGGAGGA